This is a long non-coding RNA of Uranotaenia lowii, 1560 nucleotides long. RefSeq lists it as uncharacterized. The transcript is spliced from 5 exons. Lineage: Eukaryota; Metazoa; Arthropoda; Insecta; Diptera; Culicidae. The record is from RefSeq and is a predicted model, not a curated record.
CUUUGCUCAUGGUGUCUUUGCUGCGGAUGAUUAAAAAAGAUUUCCGAAAGAUACGAUGAAUGAUCUAGAAUAAAUUAAAUUUUUAUGCAUCUGAGUGCGUCUUCGCUGCUGCUAACGUCACGUCAGGGGAAAAAAACACGAGGCGUGUGAACCCGUACGUUUUCGGAAAGCUUCUAAAUUUGGCCAUUAAACCUUUAAAUGGCCAAUACAAAACUGAAAAACAAUCGCGUCAAGGCCGGCAACAACGCAAGCGGCGAAGUUCGACAAAGUACACCAUCCUGCCGUACAAACUCCGGAGCAGCUGUACUGAAACAGGUUGAACAAUGAGCCGGAACAAUCAGCACCACUUCUUCAACAGCAGCAGCAGUAAACAUUAGUCGAGUCAGUUCCGGAGCCACGAUUGAGACCGCAGACACCAGCAAUCCAAACGGAACCAUGUUGAAACACUUCCGGAUGCUGUCAAACCCGAGCAAGUGGAAACAGCCAAAUGAAAUUCGGUGGCUGAAACGGCUCAAACAGCAAACAAUCGAAAAAGCUUGAAAGAAAAACACUCCAACAUAUAUUCCGAAAAACACCGGAGCAGGUCCAGUCCACUGGGCCGGAACCAGCUUCACAUCAACAGCAGCAGCAGUAUAACUUUGUCACAGGAGGUAGUUUUCCUUCUCCAGCGGCGGAAGCGAAUCGGGCGCGGAAGUAACUCAGCCAGCGAUCAUAAUAAGAUGGUGGCUCCGCCGUUCCAUUAUGAACCGUAGGUUAUAGUUAUGGAUUCGGAUACUAUUCUCUCGUGCUGUAAAUCAAAUCAUCGGUCGAAUCAUUCAACACAAAAAUGAUAACGGUACGAUUCUGCUGUGCGACAGCCCUUCUUAUAACCUUCGACAUUCGACAGAAAACACUACUAUCUUCCUGGAUCCAGAGACAUCUAAAUGCAGCGGAGGCCAGGUUGACUUCAUAAGUACCGAAGCUGCAACAGCGCUGAGGCAGAAACCGAAAAAGUGUGCGCUUACGAAGAAAAUUUCAUUUGCUAAUGAUCGGAAUCCAGUUACCAAACAGCAUGAGAACCUGGAUCGUUGAUCUCUCUCCCCCCCAGCACCGGAGCCCUUAACGGUUUUGGAUAUAGCUGGCCAUUGCUGGUUUUGUAACUCAGACGGUUACAAACUACGGUCCAUGGAUAGGUUUACUCAGGAAGUAGGCCAACUAUGUGGAAACCCAUUUUACGAAUUUCUGGGACAAGCUCACGGACCUUUCUUUCGGACGUUUCCAUCAGCGGAUCCAUCAUUCAGCAGCCAGCUGGUCAUCGAAGCUGUCAGGGGAAACCGGAGAAACUGAUUUAAGUAUGUGCCUAGGCCGUUAUAUCAGGUCAACGAAAUCAAUUGAAAGGAACGGGAUCCAUGAAUUCCUUUUGUUCCUGUUUUUCUGACCCACACUGGCGAACUCGGAUGGUUAUGGCACAGGAUCGAUUUAUAUAAGAAAUGGAUGCGGUAGAUUAUAUGAUUAAGCCUACGAAAGACUAAUGCGAAGGUUGUUGUGUGGUAAUAAUAUAUAAAAUAAUAUGAAAAUGUA